Molecule: ribosomal RNA, 446 nt
Filed under: uncultured bacterium
Lineage: Bacteria
Description: partial 16S ribosomal RNA
Rfam family: Bacterial small subunit ribosomal RNA
Source: RNAcentral
CCUACGGGCGGCAGCAGUCGAGAAUCAUUCACAAUGGGGGAAACCCUGAUGGUGCGACGCCGCGUGGGGGAAUGAAGGUCUUCGGAUUGUAAACCCCUGUCAUGUGGGAGCAAAUUAAAAAGAUAGUACCACAAGAGGGAGAGACGGCUAACUCUGUGCCAGCAGCCGCGGUAAUACAGAGGUCUCAAGCGUUGUUCGGAAUCACUGGGCGUAAAGCGUGCGUAGGCUGUUUCGUAAGUCGUGUGUGAAAGGCGCGGGCUCAACCCGCGGACGGCACAUGAUACUGCGAGACUAGAGUAAGGGAGAGGGAACCGGAAUUCUCGGUGUAGCAGUGAAAUGCGUAGAUAUCGAGAGGAACACUCGUGGCGAAGGCGGGUUCCUGGACAUUAACUGACGCUGAGGCACGAAGGCCAGGGGAGCGAAAGGGAUUAGAUACCCCUGUAGUC